GGAGAGUUUGAUCCUGGCUCAGGAUGAACGCUGGCGGCGUGCCUAAUACAUGCAAGUGGAGCGAACGGACGAGAAGCUUGCUUCUCUGAUGUUAGCGGCGGACGGGUGAGUAACACGUGGAUAACCUACCUAUAAGACUGGGAUAACUUCGGGAAACCGUAGCUAAUACCGGAUAAUAUUUUGAACCGCAUGGUUCAAAAGUGAAAGACGGUCUUGCUGUCACUUAUAGAUGGAUCCGCGCUGCAUUAGCUAGUUGGUAAGGUAACGGCUUACCAAGGCAACGAUGC
RNAcentral lists this ribosomal RNA (287 nucleotides) under Xanthomonas citri pv. citri. RNAcentral's name for it is "partial 16S ribosomal RNA". It matches the Rfam family "Bacterial small subunit ribosomal RNA", at positions 6 to 282 of the family's 1533-position model. Lineage: Bacteria; Pseudomonadati; Pseudomonadota; Gammaproteobacteria; Lysobacterales; Lysobacteraceae. The record is from RNAcentral.